RNAcentral lists this ribosomal RNA (254 nucleotides) under uncultured bacterium. Its description in RNAcentral is "partial 16S ribosomal RNA". It matches the Rfam family "Bacterial small subunit ribosomal RNA", at positions 524 to 776 of the family's 1533-position model. The record is from RNAcentral.
UACGUAGGGGCCAAGCGUUGUCCGGAUUUAUUGGGCGUAAAGAGCUCGUAGGCGGUUCGGCAAGUCGAAUGUGAAAUCUCCACGCUCAACGUGGAGGGGUCAUUCGAUACUGCCGUGACUUGAGUACGGUAGGGGAGUGUGGAAUUCCCGGUGUAGCGGUGAAAUGCGCAGAGAUCGGGAGGAACACCCGUAGCGAAGGCGGCUUCCUGGACCGGUUCUGACACUGAGGAGCGAAAGCGUGGGGAGCGAUCCGG